RNAcentral lists this ribosomal RNA (253 nucleotides) under uncultured bacterium. RNAcentral describes it as "partial 16S ribosomal RNA". It matches the Rfam family "Bacterial small subunit ribosomal RNA", at positions 524 to 776 of the family's 1533-position model. The record is from RNAcentral.
UACGAAGGGGGCUAGCGUUGCUCGGAAUCACUGGGCGUAAAGCGCACGUAGGCGGCUUCUUAAGUCAGGGGUGAAAUCCUGGAGCUCAACUCCAGAACUGCCUUUGAUACUGAAGAUCUUGAGUUCGGGAGAGGUGAGUGGAACUGCGAGUGUAGAGGUGAAAUUCGUAGAUAUUGGGAAGAACACCGGUGGCGAAGGCGGCCAACUGGACCAUUUCUGACGCUGAGGCGCGAAAGCGUGGGGAGCAAACAGG